GACGAACGCUGGCGGUGUGCUUCACACAUGCAAGUCGAACGAGGUAGCAAUACCUAGUGGCGGACGGGUGAGUAACGCGUGGGAAUCUGCCUUUAGAUGGGGGGAUAACGGGUCGAAAGACUCGCUAAUACCGCAUAUGACGAAAGUUGAAAGGAGUAAUCCGUCUAAAGAUGAGCCCGCGUCCGAUUAGCUAGUUGGUAGAGUAAAAGCCUACCAAGGCGACGAUCGGUAGCUGGUCUGAGAGGAUGAUCAGCCACAAAUGGGACUGAGACACGGCCCAUACUCCUACGGGAGGCAGCAGUGGGGAAUUUUACGCAAUGGGCGAAAGCCUGACGUAGCGACACCGCGUGAGCGAAGAAGCCCCUUGGGGUGUAAAGCUCUGUCAGCUGGACGAAAAAAAUGACGGUACCAGCAGAGGAAGCAUCGGCUAACUACGUGCCAGCAGCCGCGGUAAUGUCUGUACU
This 464-nucleotide ribosomal RNA is filed under the name uncultured bacterium. Its description in RNAcentral is "bacterial SSU rRNA". It matches the Rfam family "Bacterial small subunit ribosomal RNA", at positions 28 to 531 of the family's 1533-position model. The record is from RNAcentral.